Molecule: ribosomal RNA, 1428 nt
Filed under: uncultured organism
Description: 16S ribosomal RNA
Rfam family: Bacterial small subunit ribosomal RNA
Source: RNAcentral
CAGGCUUAACACAUGCAAGUCGAGGGGCAGCAUUUCAGUUUGCUUGCAAACUGGAGAUGGCGACCGGCGCACGGGUGAGUAACACGUAUCCAACCUGCCGAUAACUCGGGGAUAGCCUUUCGAAAGAAAGAUUAAUACCCGAUGGUAUAAUCAGACCGCAUGGUCUUGUUAUUAAAGAAUUUCGGUUAUCGAUGGGGAUGCGUUCCAUUAGGCAGUUGGUGAGGUAACGGCUCACCAAACCUUCGAUGGAUAGGGGUUCUGAGAGGAAGGUCCCCCACAUUGGAACUGAGACACGGUCCAAACUCCUACGGGAGGCAGCAGUGAGGAAUAUUGGUCAAUGGGCGCAGGCCUGAACCAGCCAAGUAGCGUGAAGGAUGACUGCCCUAUGGGUUGUAAACUUCUUUUAUAUGGGAAUAAAGUUUUCCACGUGUGGAAUUUUGUAUGUACCAUAUGAAUAAGGAUCGGCUAACUCCGUGCCAGCAGCCGCGGUAAUACGGAGGAUCCGAGCGUUAUCCGGAUUUAUUGGGUUUAAAGGGAGCGUAGGUGGACAGUUAAGUCAGUUGUGAAAGUUUGCGGCUCAACCGUAAAAUUGCAGUUGAUACUGGCUGUCUUGAGUACAGUAGAGGUGGGCGGAAUUCGUGGUGUAGCGGUGAAAUGCUUAGAUAUCACGAAGAACUCCGAUUGCGAAGGCAGCUCACUGGACUGCAACUGACACUGAUGCUCGAAAGUGUGGGUAUCAAACAGGAUUAGAUACCCUGGUAGUCCACACAGUAAACGAUGAAUACUCGCUGUUUGCGAUAUACAGUAAGCGGCCAAGCGAAAGCAUUAAGUAUUCCACCUGGGGAGUACGCCGGCAACGGUGAAAUCCAAAGGAAAUUGACGGGGGCCCGCACAAGCGGAGGAACAUGUGGUUUUAAUUUGAUGAUACGCGAGGAACCUUACCCGGGCUUAAAUUUCAUUUGAAUAUAUUGGAAACAGUAUAGCCGUAAGGCAAAUGUGAAGGUGGUGCAUGGUUGUCGUCAGCUCGUGCCGUGAGGUGUCGGCUUAAGUGCCAUAACGAGCGCAACCCUUAUCUUUAGUUACUAACAGGUCAUGCUGAGGACUCUAGAGAGACUGCCGUCGUAAGAUGUGAGGAAGGUGGGGAUGACGUCAAAUCAGCACGGCCCUUACGUCCGGGGCUACACACGUGUUACAAUGGGGGGUACAGAAGGCAGCUACCUGGUGACAGGAUGCUAAUCCCAAAAGCCUCUCUCAGUUCGGAUUGGAGUCUGCAACCCGACUCCAUGAAGCUGGAUUCGCUAGUAAUCGCGCAUCAGCCACGGCGCGGUGAAUACGUUCCCGGGCCUUGUACACACCGCCCGUCAAGCCAUGAAAGCCGGGGGUACCUGAAGUGCGUAAAAGCAAGGAGCGCCCUAGGGUAAAACUGGU